UUUGCACAAGAUGCUUAUUUGAUUUCUUUCCUUAAAUAACUUUUACCGUUUAAGUCUAAAUUCCUUAAUUAAAGAAAGUCUUGCAUUGAUUGAUUUUUUUAAUUGAUAUCCAGUUCCUUAAUUGUUUUCUUACCUUAUUUCUGCUUUUUUUUAACACUAUAAAUGCACGACUCUUUCAUUAACAAAAAAGCGAUCACUCGUAGUCUUUCUGAAUUUACACUUACACUCAAUAGUAUUCUCUCUUAUUGCUUGUACUGUGGCUUGUUUACAAGGCCUACUACCUGUCUUUCUUUAUUUACUUAUUUGAAACCGGUAUGUCCUGAUUUAAGCUUUUUAGCACCACGACAAUAUGUGUAUUUACUGCUUUUGUAUUCAUGUCUGCUUACUGCUUCUGUGUGGUUUAACACUUCUUAUUUCUUUUUGCCUGUUCUAUUAUGAAUCCCAACCCCUUCCCCCUAUUUGUUCAUGCUAUGGUUUGAGGCAUGGCAAUAUGCAAAUUAUUGUACAUGAAUUAAACUUGAUCCCCUGGGAUUCUAGCCUCUAAUAAUGUAUGUUCUAGCAGGCUUAUGGGUAUGCUAGUACCCUCCAUUUUUGGGCAUGCCUAAAUCCUGCCCUUGCCUAAGCAAUAGGCUCUUUACAAUCUCCAUAUUCCCCUGAACCCCCCUCCCCCAUGUGUAUUUAUUAGUAGUUGUUUCCCUCUCCUUUUCCCCUUUAGCAUUCUAUUAUGUACUUGCACACUUUCUUAGUCUUUAAGUUCUGCCCCCCUCUUGUGAGCCUUGUCUUGGGACUCUUUGAGUUCCUUUUGAACUUGUACACUUAAGGGUUGGCCCUUCUACACUGCCCUUAUCCUAAUCUGACAAUACAUUUGGGUGUGAGCAUU
RNAcentral lists this long non-coding RNA (880 nucleotides) under Nicotiana benthamiana. RNAcentral describes it as "long non-coding RNA (NBEN_LNC015849)". Lineage: Eukaryota; Viridiplantae; Streptophyta; Magnoliopsida; Solanales; Solanaceae. The record is from RNAcentral.